UUGAACGCUGGCGGCAGGCCUAACACAUGCAAGUCGAACGGUAACAGGAAGCAGCUUGCUGCUUCGCUGACGAGUGGCGGACGGGUGAGUAAUGUCUGGGAAGCUGCCUGAUGGAGGGGGAUAACUACUGGAAACGGUAGCUAAUACCGCAUAAUGUCGCAAGACCAAAGAGGGGGACCUUCGGGCCUCUUGCCAUCGGAUGUGCCCAGAUGGGAUUAGCUUGUUGGUGGGGUAACGGCUCACCAAGGCGACGAUCCCUAGCUGGUCUGAGAGGAUGACCAGCCACACUGGGACUGAGACACGGUCCAGACUCCUACGGGAGGCAGCAGUGGGGAAUAUUGCACAAUGGGCGCAAGCCUGAUGCAGCCAUGCCGCGUGUAUGAAGAAGGCCUUCGGGUUGUAAAGUACUUUCAGCGGGGAGGAAGGGAGUAAAGUUAAUACCUUUGCUCAUUGACGUUACCCGCAGAAGAAGCACCGGCUAACUCCGUG
RNAcentral lists this ribosomal RNA (489 nucleotides) under uncultured bacterium. Its description in RNAcentral is "partial 16S ribosomal RNA". It matches the Rfam family "Bacterial small subunit ribosomal RNA", at positions 30 to 507 of the family's 1533-position model. The record is from RNAcentral.